This 253-nucleotide ribosomal RNA is filed under the name uncultured bacterium. RNAcentral's name for it is "partial 16S ribosomal RNA". It matches the Rfam family "Bacterial small subunit ribosomal RNA", at positions 524 to 776 of the family's 1533-position model. The record is from RNAcentral.
UACGGAGGGCGCAAGCGUUGUUCGGAAUCACUGGGCGUAAAGCGCGUGUAGGCGGCUUGAUAAGUCGGGGGUGAAAGCCCAGGGCUCAACCCUGGAACUGCAUUCAAUACUGUCUCGCUCGAGUUCGGGAGAGGGGAGUGGAAUUCCCGGUGUAGAGGUGAAAUUCGUAGAUAUUAGGAAGAACACCAGUGGCGAAGGCGGCUCACUGGCCCGAUACUGACGCUGAGGUGCGAAAGCGUGGGGAGCAAACAGG